GCGCAGAGUAGAAGCGUUCAGCCGCGGCCCGGUUCGGCCCACGGUGGGAAAUUGCUCUUUCA
This 62-nucleotide non-coding RNA is filed under the name Variovorax sp. JS1663. RNAcentral's name for it is "Xanthine riboswitch aptamer (NMT1 RNA)". It matches the Rfam family "Xanthine riboswitch aptamer (NMT1 RNA)". Rfam says of the family: Later it was reported as a ncRNA that recognised Xanthine. Lineage: Bacteria; Pseudomonadati; Pseudomonadota; Betaproteobacteria; Burkholderiales; Comamonadaceae. The record is from Rfam by way of RNAcentral. RNAcentral also lists the same sequence under 1 other name.